This is a small nuclear RNA of Oryctolagus cuniculus (rabbit), 107 nucleotides long. The record is from Ensembl. NCBI's taxonomy places the organism in Eukaryota, Metazoa, Chordata, Mammalia, Lagomorpha, Leporidae.
GUGCUAGCUUCGGCAGCACAUAUACUAAAAUUGAAACGAUACAGAGAAGAUUAGCAUGGCCCCUACGCAAGGAUGACACACAAAUUCAUGAAGCGUUCCAUAUUUUA